This 405-nucleotide small RNA is filed under the name Pan troglodytes (chimpanzee). Its description in RNAcentral is "processed transcript". Lineage: Eukaryota; Metazoa; Chordata; Mammalia; Primates; Hominidae. The record is from RNAcentral.
CAGGAGGAAGUGCAGGUUCUGUUGGAUUCUUUGGUCCACGGCAAUCCCAAGUACCAAAAUCAAGUGUAUAAAGGUCUAAUAGCUUUGCUGCCCUGCGAGUCCCCGAAAGCCCAGCAGCUGUCCCUGCAGACUCUCAGGACUGCCCAGCCAUCGAGUUGAUCAAGGACCUGGUCGGUUACGAUGUGCGCCAGGCGCUGCUCAAAGGCCUCGUGGCGCUGCUGAUACCGUCGGUCAAGGAGACCUCCAAACUGCAGGCCAAGAUCCUCAGUGGUAAGGACCUGCUCAAAUGGGGCUGCCUGGGCCACGGGAGGGCGGUCUCUUGCCUCACGGCUGCCCCCUCCUCAGACCCCUCGGUUCUCCAGCUCACCCCCAGCCUGCCGAUGUUUUUGCAGCAGGCCGCGGCCG